Molecule: ribosomal RNA, 448 nt
Filed under: uncultured bacterium
Lineage: Bacteria
Description: partial 16S ribosomal RNA
Rfam family: Bacterial small subunit ribosomal RNA
Source: RNAcentral
UACCAGACUCCUACGGGAGGCAGCAGUGGGGAAUAUUGCACAAUGGGGGAAACCCUGAUGCAGCGACGCCGCGUGAAGGAUGAAGUAUUUCGGUAUGUAAACUUCUAUCAGCAGGGAAGAAAAUGACGGUACCUGACUAAGAAGCCCCGGCUAACUACGUGCCAGCAGCCGCGGUAAUACGUAGGGGGCAAGCGUUAUCCGGAUUUACUGGGUGUAAAGGGAGCGUAGACGGCAUGGCAAGUCUGAUGUGAAAACCCGGGGCUCAACCCCGGGACUGCAUUGGAAACUGGCGGGCUGGAGUGCCGGAGAGGUAAGCGGAAUUCCUAGUGUAGCGGUGAAAUGCGUAGAUAUUAGGAGGAACACCAGUGGCGAAGGCGGCUUACUGGACGGCAACUGACGCUGAGGCUCGAAAGCGUGGGGAGCAAACAGGAUUAGAUACCCCGGUACA